RNAcentral lists this ribosomal RNA (117 nucleotides) under Pteropus alecto (black flying fox). Lineage: Eukaryota; Metazoa; Chordata; Mammalia; Chiroptera; Pteropodidae. The record is from RNAcentral.
GUCUACAGCCAUGCUACCCUGAACAAGCCUGAUCCCAUCUGAUCUUAGAAGCUAAGCAGGGUAGGGCCUGGUAAAUACUUGGAUGAGAGAACACCUAGGAAGACCAGGUGUUAGCUC